GCCGCGUGCAGGAUGAAGGCUUCGGGUUGUAAACUGCUUCUGUACGGAACGAAAAGGUCCUUUCUAAUAAAGAGGGCUCAUGACGGUACCGUAAGAAUAAGCACCGGCUAACUACGUGCCAGCAGCCGCGGUAAUACGUAGGGUGCGAGCGUUAAUCGGAAUUACUGGGCGUAAAGCGUGCGCAGGCGGUUAUAUAAGACAGAUGUGAAAUCCCCGGGCUCAACCUGGGAACUGCAUUAGUGACUGUAUAGCUGGAGUGCGGCAGAGGGGGAUGGAAUUCCGCGUGUAGCAGUGAAAUGCGUAGAUAUGCGGAGGAACACCGAUGGCGAAGCAAUCCCCUGGGCCUGCACUGACGCUCAUGCACGAAAGCGUGGGGAGCAAACAGGAUUAGAUACCCUGGUAGUCCACGCCCUAACGAUGUCACUGGUUGUUGGGAAUUCCUUUCUCA
This 448-nucleotide ribosomal RNA is filed under the name uncultured bacterium. Its description in RNAcentral is "bacterial SSU rRNA". It matches the Rfam family "Bacterial small subunit ribosomal RNA", at positions 396 to 842 of the family's 1533-position model. The record is from RNAcentral.